AAGGUUUCCUCCUGAGUCAGGCAGAGGAUAGGAAGCAGGCAGAGCAGCAGAGACAGGAUCUGUUUGCAGAAAUGGGCCCAGAUUCCUCUGAGACCAAAAGGACUCCGUUGGACACCAGAGAGAGGCUGCUGGGUGACCAGAUGAUGCCAGUAAGACCUCCUCAUCCAUCUAUUCCUGGUGGGGAAGGAGAAGCAACGGCUGUGGAAGCAGCUCAGGGUCCAGUGUGCUUUGAAGAUGUCGCUGUUCAUUUCACAGAUGAGGAA
Molecule: non-coding RNA, 263 nt
Organism: Podarcis muralis (Common wall lizard)
Lineage: Eukaryota; Metazoa; Chordata; Lepidosauria; Squamata; Lacertidae
Source: RefSeq, a predicted model, not a curated record